CCAAGUUCAGCUUGGGAUAGAAUGUGAAGUUAAGUUGUAAAGUAUGUUGAAGAAUAGUAUUGUCAUGUGUUAGACAGUCAUGAUUGUGUAUAAGUUAAGGUUACUCGAUUUUGGGAAUAGUGUGUAAAGUUUAAUGUAUAAACAAUUUAUGUUUAUACCUUUCGCAACAGUUGUAGAAAUAGCGAACCGGAUCCGCGGCGAUUCGGGACCCGGAUUCGGGGACGCUACAUGUAGAACAUAUAAACACAAGCUAUGAAGAUCAGAUCUAAAC
Molecule: long non-coding RNA, 271 nt
Filed under: Panax ginseng (ginseng)
Lineage: Eukaryota; Viridiplantae; Streptophyta; Magnoliopsida; Apiales; Araliaceae
Description: long non-coding RNA (PGIN_LNC004579)
Source: RNAcentral